This 79-nucleotide transfer RNA is filed under the name Burkholderiales bacterium. Its description in RNAcentral is "tRNA-Cys". It matches the Rfam family "tRNA". From Rfam's summary of the family: Transfer RNA (tRNA) molecules are approximately 80 nucleotides in length. Their secondary structure includes four short double-helical elements and three loops (D, anti-codon, and T loops). Lineage: Bacteria; Pseudomonadati; Pseudomonadota; Betaproteobacteria; Burkholderiales. The record is from RNAcentral.
GGCGCGGUAACAAAAAAAAGCGGUUAUGUACCGGAUUGCAAAUCCGGCUAGCCCGGUUCGGCUCCGGGCCGCGCCUCCA